AUCUCAGCCUUUCAAAGGCUUUGGCGGCUGCAUGUUUAAGAAAAUCUCAUCCGUUUAUCGCCCAACAAAGGCUUUUUUUCUUUUUGGUUAAAACUUCUCCUUUUUCUUCUUUUCUUCGUAUCCUUCAAGUCUUCAACUCUUACAUUCUUAUGAGAAAACCAAACGUUUGCUUACAGUUUCUUCACAUGUGGAUCACGGUUGCUACUUUUAUUGAUUCCGAGCUGUUAGAGUACGGUGGCUCAAGGCGGAUUUCAAUUGUGUAUUUGGGUUUUACAUGUCCGGUCAUCUCCGUGAUGGAUAUCUAGCGGCAGAUCUCGCAUCUGAGGGUGGUGACAACGAGAACAAUUCUCCGGUUGCGUCGGUUAGGCUUUUAGGGUUAAAUCCGGUGUCUUAGAUUUGCCUUUGGCAGGAUUAACGAAAUUCAUUGCCAUCUCCGACUCGAAUCUGAGAGAACCAAAGAAGAAGACGAAGAAGAAGAAUGGUCUGUCGAAGUUGAAGAUGAAGAUGGUAGGCGACAGAUCCGGUUGAGGACUGUUCUCUUUGUAGCUGGCAAGUAACAAGCUUCAUCGAACGUGAGCAGAUCUCAUUGUGGCGGCGAGUAGGAAGCUUCAUCCGACGGGAAGAUCGAACGACCGUCGCCGUGCCGUUAUUUUGUCACUGUAACCACUUGUGUAAACUGAAAACCCUAAUUUGUUAAUGGGCUCUGGGCUUUUUGUUUGUAAAAUUGUUAGUUAGGCUUAUUAAUGGGUUUUGUAUUAUAUAUUUGUAAUCCAUUUUUUAUUUUUGGUCUAAUUCGGUUCGAAAUAACCGAGAUAAAAAAAAAUUCGGUUUAUUUCGGAA
Arabidopsis lyrata subsp. lyrata is the source of this 840-nucleotide long non-coding RNA. RefSeq lists it as uncharacterized. The record is from RefSeq and is a predicted model, not a curated record. The transcript is spliced from 2 exons. Lineage: Eukaryota; Viridiplantae; Streptophyta; Magnoliopsida; Brassicales; Brassicaceae.